The sequence is a transfer RNA, 83 nucleotides long. It matches the Rfam family "tRNA". From Rfam's summary of the family: Transfer RNA (tRNA) molecules are approximately 80 nucleotides in length. Their secondary structure includes four short double-helical elements and three loops (D, anti-codon, and T loops). Further hydrogen bonds mediate the characteristic L-shaped molecular structure. tRNAs have two regions of fundamental functional importance: the anti-codon, which is responsible for specific mRNA codon recognition, and the 3' end, to which the tRNAs corresponding amino acid is attached (by aminoacyl-tRNA synthetases). tRNAs cope with the degeneracy of the genetic code in two manners: having more than one tRNA (with a specific anti-codon) for a particular amino acid; and 'wobble' base-pairing, i.e. permitting non-standard base-pairing at the 3rd anti-codon position.
GCGGGUAUGGUGGAAUUGGCAGACACGCUAGACUUAGGAUCUAGUGGGAAACCGUGCAGGUUCAAGUCCUGUUACCCGCACCA